GAAAACUGUAAUGAAGAAAUGAGUCAAAGGACAGUCAACAGAAUUUUACUGGGCAGGGAUAUAUGUUCUCAGUCGAAGGUGGAAUAUUGCAAUUAAGAGAAACGGUGACUAUGUAGAGAAGUAGGGAUGUGAUCCACAGAGGACCGGCUUCAUUUUAAUGUAUGAUACGUGUUCCUGUGUUGAUAAUUAUAUCUAUCCUAAACAAAAUGGCAUUACUUUUUACUCACCCUCGUACUUGAGAGGCGAUUUUUACAGUU
Molecule: long non-coding RNA, 257 nt
Organism: Octopus sinensis (East Asian common octopus)
Lineage: Eukaryota; Metazoa; Mollusca; Cephalopoda; Octopoda; Octopodidae
Exons: 3
Source: RefSeq, a predicted model, not a curated record